RNAcentral lists this long non-coding RNA (4654 nucleotides) under Homo sapiens (human). RNAcentral describes it as "HSALNT0366353". The record is from RNAcentral. Lineage: Eukaryota; Metazoa; Chordata; Mammalia; Primates; Hominidae.
GGAUGGAUGAGUGGAUUGAGGGGUGGAAUGGGUGGGUGGAUGGAUGGAAGCGCAACUAUAUUGGCUACCCCAAAAUGAAUCUACUAUCCUCAUGAUGGACUGGAUUUAUGAUGAUUCUUUCCAGAACCAGAGCAAUGGACAAAGAUGACCUCAGAGCAUCCCUUCCAGAAUAAGUUGUCUAGUAUUCUACGUAUGUCUACAGAAAAAAAGAAAUGUGCAGUCUACAGAAAAGCAAGAAAACACUUUAUAACUAUUCUAUUGAGAGGGGCCUUCCAAAGGUCACUCCAUCUAUCCCCCUCUCUGUGGCAGAAUGUCAAGAGCAAUUUUUAACACACACCAUCUAAUCUAAAGAAACCCACAUAUGCAUGCAUCCAAAUCAGACUUUCCAGAAGAAAGGGAGGAGUACAUGUGCAUCUACCCUACCACCUCUUGCCUUCUGGCUGGGGGAAUGGAAAAACUCAUCAUCAGUAUAGCUGCUGCCCCUGGAGCCAAGGGCACAGCCACAGAGCCAAGUCUCUGUGAAAUGCAUCAGAUCAAACUCAAUGAUCAAUAAUAAAAUCAACAGCCUUCUCAAAGCCAAAGGGGUUGAAAUUCAGAAGGGGCAAUAUUGUAAUUUCUCCUGGGGCUAUACAGCAUGCUCAUUUUUGAGAUUUACAGCCUUUAACCAAUCCUCUGGAUGCAAGGCAUCAUGCUAAGAAGUCAAGGUUUUUGACUAGGUGAGAGACCAGGUUCAGGUGAGUCACAAUACAACAAUUAAAGGGGUUUAUGGACCCCCAGCCCCCCAUCACUCCCUCCAGCUCCAACAGGAGAAAUAUAAACCCCUUAUGAGGGCUAACCAAUCAAACCAUAAAAUCCAAUAGCCAUACAGUUCAGCUGGAAGAAUGUUCCUUUGUUAAACAAACAAUGUGUCUGGAACACUUUUUGGUCCAUUGUUCCAUUCCAGGACAGAGACUGAAGCUAUAGAAAUAAAUUAGUGAUUUCAAUCAUGCUCAUCCUGGACUGAUCCUACUGGCACAUGGAAACUUCCUGGCUGGGGCUGAAGAAGAGAAUUAACUCUUUCAGGCAAAGUGGAAACAUGAAGUUUUAUGAGAGAGAGAAGAAACCUUUGGUGGUGCACAGGGAUUUGAAUUCAGACUCUCCACAGCACCGGACAAUUGCGCAGUGUUGAAGUCUCAUGCUGGUCUGUAAAGCCAGGCCAGAAGAGGAACUGGGAAUAAUUAGGAUGGGAGAUUACAUCCAACUUACAGUUUGUGGAUUCUACCCCUGAAUUCUAUCCACAAAACCCUCAAGAUUCAAGAACCCUUGAUGCUGUCAUAUGGCCCCAGGAGUCAUCAGAUAUAAGCACCCUAAGAAGCUGUCCAGGGGUAGCAGGGAGACUCUGUCUUCAGUGAAGGAGGACACUUAAGGCUGAAGUGGCCCCAAGAACCACCCUCAUCAUCUGUCAAGCCCAGAUAUAACCAUUCUGUAUCCUCAGACCUCAAAGCCUUAAAGACUCUGUCUACCACGUACACCACCCACUUCAGCUAAACCUUUCACACUUGCACAGUCCACGCCAGCAUCUCAGCAUCCUGAGGGUGAGUUCUUCCUGGAGAUCUGACAAGGGUAGGAAACAGAGCUCACCCACUCCUGCUGGACCCCAGCAUCUGCGGGCAGGGAGAGGGAAGUUGAUUUCACCCAGACCUUCACAACAGAGUUAAGCCUUCCCAGUCCAUCAGACCAUCGGUCACUCUCCCAGGACUCUUUUCUCACCUCUGUUACUGCACUUUUAGACCCUAUUUGAUUCUCCCAGGUCAGGUCUGCUUCCCUUGAAAGCAGGGGCCAUGUCUUAUUCACCUCAGCAUCCUCAGCUCCCAGCCCACCCAGGACCCAGCACCUAGUAGGUGCUCAGUAAAUGUCUGCUACAUGAAAAGCAGGAGAGAGGGGCCAGAGACUGAGCCUGGCAGGUCCCUCCUGGCAGUUGCUUUACAGCUGCUGUGACUGCCCAACCAGCCCCAGACCGAUAAAGACCCUGAACUUAUCAAGUGACAAAUGCAGAAGGGCUUUCCUUCUCAAUGUGUGUCUCAGAGCCCAAAACAUCUAGCAGUGCCAUGAAGAGGGACGAUUAGCAAGAUAGAAACCAACUGUCCCCCGAGUCUCUCUUCACCAAAUGCAGACAUUGAUGUGAAUGACAGUAGGAAGCACGGGUGAUACUCAAGAUAUUUAACAACCAGCAUAACACAUUGCGAAUCAGGGCAGGCACCAGCCACGAACACCAAGUACAGUCGUACCAGGAAUACCAGUCAGAUAGGGAGAUAAUAACUUUGCUAGGAGGAAGACAGACUAACGCAAGGAAGCCAGACUCCCUUAGCUUAUUUGUCUGCAUAGACUCUAUAAUGUCAGUAUUUAAUCUGAUUAAGGCAUUAACCAGCAGUCUGACCUUGUGCCAGUCACAUAUUCUCUCUGGGCUUCAGUUCCCGCUCUAAGAUGAAAUUGAAAGAAAUUAUCCAAGCUGUUGUUACAACUAUAAUGUCCUAUGAUCCCAUCUUCUCACACAUCACAGGUGGCACCCAGUAACAAAGAAAAUCAGCAAAGCACACAGCUGGCUAAGGUGAUGCACAGACCAGAAACCCUUGACAAGGACAACCGUGACAUUCGUUGAGCCAUAGCAUCUGGUACUGCAGUUUGGGAUAUGGCAGAUCAAAGCCCAGAAACCUCCUUCCAACCCCUUCUGAGGAAUCCUAGAGAUCUCCAGAAGCACCCUGUCAGUUGGUAAAAGACUCCAGACAUAAAGGACUUGGUAAAGAGCCACACCCAGCUCCCUUCCUCCUCCGUGUAAACCCUCAGCCUGCUUUUCACUAGACCCACUGCCCAGCUUUGUGCAAAACCUGGACACUGCUCAUCUCUGUGGCUGGGUGAGUGCCACCUCCUGGGGAGUAUGAGAGAAUAAAGAACAAGAGGAGCAGAAGCAAGAAGACCUUAUUUCAAGGCCCAGCCCUGCUACUCACCCACUUGACAAGGUGCUUUACGUUUCCUAGUCGGUGAGAAGGGACAUUAGCUGCUCUAACCUCCUCAGGGUUGGGGAGGUUGGGGUGGGGGGAGGCUAAAACGAGCAUCAGAGGAGAAUGCUGAAGGUUAAUGUUUUCAUUAUAGAGUCUUUGGAGAUGGAAAUAGACAUGUACCUGGAUUUGGGGGCUUGGAGGCUUGCCUUGCCCCUCCCUGCUUUCCCUGUGCAUCCCCACCCCAGGCUGCCCGGAGGCGUCCCCUCUGAGAUCAAAUCCAGCCAGCCCUACUGUGCCUCCCUGUCUCAGCUGUGCGGUCCCAGGGGCAGGGGCUGCAGAGUUCUUUGUUGUGUUCCCCAAAGAUCCCUCGGGGUAGGAAAGAGGCAAGGGAGAAGCCCAAGGUCCCAGCCUGCUGCCUCAGGGUGGGACAAGCAGGACAGGAACACAGCCAAAGCCAGAGGGAAAUCAUCGCAUCUUCCCCAGUCAUUAGUGUGAGCAGCAGCGGCACGACUGUUCCUACACUCAGGAGAGCAUGGCAGCGUCACGAAUAAACAGUAGAGACGAGGGCAUCAUUAAAACCCAUAUUUGCAUUUUCCCUGCGUUUGCUAUAUCCUUUCCUAGGAACACAAGCAACCAUCCCACUCCAGAGGAGAAAAUAGCCUCAUUUUAUAAUGGAGUCAAUGGGGGCCUGGAGAUCCCCAUCCCAUAGAAAUACACCACGCCCCGAUCCAGCACCAGCAGCCUGCCCUCUGUGGAUGUCCAAGACGGAGCAACGGGCAGGAAGGCCUCCAGGGGACGCUGUCACCCUAGAAAACCAAACAGCAAGGUUUUCCUAAGGAUUCUAAGCCCUAGUUUCCCCAGCAAAGCAAAACCAAGCCAGACUUGAGAAUUAUAAGAGGAGAACUGCUUCAAGACAAGUUUUAUAUAGGUAAGAGUGAGGAAGACAGCGGCAAGUCUGAGUGUUCGCCCUGUGAGGUGAUGGACUGAUCUGGGUCCCAAAAAAUGGUCACCCAGGGCCAACCUGUGCUUCAGAGGCCACAGAGCAGCCUCCAGGGAGGGCAAAAAGCCCAGAGUCCAGUGGGCUCACGGCCCUGGCGCCACACGCUCCUUCUGGAAAGGAAGAAUAGGUACUCCGUAAAUCAGUCCCGCUUUGAAUACGUAACUGCUGACCUCUGCAGAGAAUCUCUGUGAAUUCUGGGGAGGGAGGAAGAGAAAACUACUAUAAAGUGCUUGGUUGGUUCUCCUCGGGAUGACAAGGAUCCCAGAAGCUCCAAAGCUCAGACAGGGUCCAAAUCCCAGCAGGACCCCUUAGUGGCAGCGUGACCUUGGCCAAGCCACUUGGCCUGUCUCCUCCAAGAUGGGAAUAACAGCCCCUUGCAGGGUAUUCAUGAAGACUAAAUGAGCACAAGUGAAAGCAAAACCACACGUGAUGAGGCUCACAAAAGGCACUCAGAAAAGUCCGUUUUCUUCCUUAAAACCAUAGAUUAAAUCUCACUCUAAAGACAGAAUUUCUGAAAGUCACCCCGACCUCUUCCUGAAAAGGAGGUGGAAAGUGGGAUGGCGACAGAGCCUGAGAAACAGUGGCAGCUGGUUUUAAGAAAGUGAAGCCUUUGGGACGCCGAGACAGGCGGAUCACACAGUCAGGAGUUGGAGACCAGCCUCAGCAACAUGGUGAA